Long non-coding RNA from Lycium ferocissimum, 668 nucleotides. RefSeq lists it as uncharacterized. The transcript is spliced from 4 exons. The record is from RefSeq and is a predicted model, not a curated record. NCBI's taxonomy places the organism in Eukaryota, Viridiplantae, Streptophyta, Magnoliopsida, Solanales, Solanaceae.
UUUAGGGUUUGGAUAUGGAGAUGUAAAAAUGUCCAAUUGGGUUUCUGUUGAAAUUUGUGGAAUGUAACGGACAGCUAUUCAAUGAAUGAAGAAUUUUCAGCUUCUCUGUUAAAUUUGUUUGAUUUUGAAUUAUGUUGCUUUAUGUUUGGUAUUACUUACCUGUUUUGCCUUGUUUAGUUUCAACUGUUUGUCUGAUGAUUCCUUGAAGCUGUCUCUAUGCAUAAUGCUUACAGAGUUGGCUGUUCAAUCUCGAUUUGUUGCUUGAUAUUUGCAAUGUCUCUUUGAAUAUUGACAGGACACUUGGGCGUUCAGUUUCUCUGAUAAUGUUUGAUCCAUGGAAGUGACACUGGAUGUCCAUGAUUUUUCAGAAGGAGACUCCUCUGCAGCACCUACCUUCUGUUGCUGUUAUUAACUAUUACUGAGCUCCUCCAUUGCUCAAAAUUAAAUUAAAAUGUUUAGUUAGCUUGCUUCUGAUGGUUUACUCGUGCAGCCUCAACGAUCUUGGUAGAGAAUCAAGUAGCACCGCUGCUGGCUGCCGGCGCUAACCAAGGUUUGCCGUCCGCCUGGCCAAUGAUUAUGUUGACAAACGCCGGCAAAUAAUAAAUGCAUUAAAAACAAUCAUGCCGGGAAGGAUGGAGCAUAAACAAAAUUGCAAGUGUAAAGAGGUU